Molecule: long non-coding RNA, 289 nt
Filed under: Phascolarctos cinereus (koala)
Lineage: Eukaryota; Metazoa; Chordata; Mammalia; Diprotodontia; Phascolarctidae
Description: lncRNA (ENSPCIG00000009796.2)
Source: RNAcentral
GUUUAUUGUGGAUAACAUUGUAAAAAAUUGUACUAAAUAAAUUUAUUUUUCUUUCUGUCAUCUUGUAAAUUAUAGCAAUACUUGUUGAAAGAAGGAAACAAAUUUUCUAGGUCCAGAGAGAAGCCAGUACAAAAAAAUGUUAUUACCAGGUCAGAACAGGUAACUCCGGAGGUAGAACCUGGAAAUGAUGAGAGGCUGUCAAAGAAAAAAGGCAACAAAGUAAGUAUUUUUAAAUUAUGGAUAUAUUCUUUUACAACUUAUAAUCUAUCAGAUAUAACUUUAAUUCUUG